GAACGGAGGGGGGCGGCUCCUAGGACGAGAGGACCGGAGUGGACGCAUCACUGGUGUUCGGGUUGUCAUGCCAAUGGCACUGCCCGGUAGCUAAAUGCGGAAGAGAUAAGUGCUGAAAGCAUCUAAGCACGAAACUUGCCCCGAGAUGAGUUCUCCCUGACUCCUUGAGAGUCCUGAAGGAACGUUGAAGACGACGACGUUGAUAGGCCGGGUGUGUAAGCGCAGCGAUGCGUUGAGCUAACCGGUACUAAUGAACCGUGAGGCUUAACCUUACAACGCCGAAG
RNAcentral lists this ribosomal RNA (284 nucleotides) under Escherichia coli. Its description in RNAcentral is "partial 23S ribosomal RNA". It matches the Rfam family "Bacterial large subunit ribosomal RNA", at positions 2659 to 2925 of the family's 2925-position model. Lineage: Bacteria; Pseudomonadati; Pseudomonadota; Gammaproteobacteria; Enterobacterales; Enterobacteriaceae. The record is from RNAcentral.